CGCACAUUGCGCCCUGUGGUAUUCCGCAGGGCAUGCCUGUUCGAGCGUCAUUUUACCAAUCAAGCCCCGCUUGGUAUUGGAGCCAGUACUUGUACGGCUCUCAAAAACAAUAGCAGUCUACACAAGACCCUAAGUAUAGUAAAUUCUCUUGCUUUUGGGCGCUGUAGGGACUUGCUUAUACCUAUCUUCAGGUUGACCUCGGAUCAGGUAGGGAUACCCGCUGAACUUAA
RNAcentral lists this unclassified non-coding RNA (230 nucleotides) under Strossmayeria basitricha. RNAcentral's name for it is "partial contains 5.8S ribosomal RNA, internal transcribed spacer 2, and large subunit ribosomal RNA". Lineage: Eukaryota; Fungi; Ascomycota; Leotiomycetes; Helotiales. The record is from RNAcentral.